UGGGGAAUCUUGGACAAUGGGCGCAAGCCUGAUCCAGCCAUGCCGCGUGAGUGAAGAAGGCCUUAGGGUUGUAAAACUCUUUCGCCGGAGAAGAUAAUGACGGUAUCCGGAGAAGAAGCACCGGCUAACUACGUGCCAGCAGCCGCGGUAAUACGUAGGGUGCGAGCGUUAAUCGGAAUUACUGGGCAUAAAGCGUGCGCAGGCGGCGACAUAAGACAGAUGUGAAAUCCCCGGGCUCAACCUGGGAACUGCGUUUGUGACUGUGUUGCUAGAGUGUAGCAGAGGGGGGUGGAAUUCCACGUGUAGCAGUGAAAUGCGUAGAGAUGUGGAGGAACACCGAUGGCGAAGGCAGCCCCCUGGGUUAACACUGACGCUCAUGCACGAAAGCGUGGGGAGCAAACAGGAUUAGAUACCCAAGUAGUCCCUGAGCGGGCUGGCAAGGCGCAU
This 447-nucleotide ribosomal RNA is filed under the name uncultured bacterium. Its description in RNAcentral is "bacterial SSU rRNA". It matches the Rfam family "Bacterial small subunit ribosomal RNA", at positions 355 to 825 of the family's 1533-position model. The record is from RNAcentral.